AAACACAAAUAUCAUUAUGAGCCAUAUAUCUAACCCGUAAAAUUUUGCAAUCGAAUGUGAAGCCCACAUAUGGAAUUAUUAAUUAUUCCAACAUUCUCCCACUUAGGCAAACAUUUGAUUGCCAUAUCAAAGUUUUAACACCCGGGUUAGACUACAUAGGUGGCCACAAAAGUAUAGCUCCAAUGAUAACACCUUACGUAACAUGAUCCGGUCCAACAAGAAUAUUAAC
RNAcentral lists this long non-coding RNA (229 nucleotides) under Olea europaea (common olive). Its description in RNAcentral is "long non-coding RNA (OEUR_LNC002987)". The record is from RNAcentral. Lineage: Eukaryota; Viridiplantae; Streptophyta; Magnoliopsida; Lamiales; Oleaceae.